This 5915-nucleotide long non-coding RNA is filed under the name Gossypium barbadense (sea-island cotton). RNAcentral describes it as "long non-coding RNA (GBAR_LNC021199)". Lineage: Eukaryota; Viridiplantae; Streptophyta; Magnoliopsida; Malvales; Malvaceae. The record is from RNAcentral.
UGUUAAGGAAGGACUAUAAAUAAUUUUAUAUACUGUGUCAAAAAGAACAAAUAUGAUUAGAAUUUAUAAUAAAAUUAUUAAAAAAGAGAAAAAAAUUAUCGCUUUUUAUUAUUAUAAAGAAUUGAAGCAUAAAGGAAAUUUAAAUAUAUUUCUUUGAAAGCAAUUGUUAAGAAGAGAAAGAAUUGUCUGCUACCCUAGCACGAUUGUGUCUGCCGCCUCUGGCACGCUUUUAGGUUUUCUUGUUUUUUUUAGGUCUUCUUGUUUUGUCUUCUUUUCUUGAUCCCUGUGCCUCUGUUUCUGGAAAAAAUAUGGAGAAUGAUUUAGCCCAAUUAUCAAUUAAUGAAGAGGAGGAUGAUGUUAUCCAAAUCCAAGAAAAUCCUGGAACGGAACGAACAGAAGAGUUUCUUCAAUUGGUCGGGUGUUUUCUUACAGCAAGUAUAAUUUAUUUUCCUGCUAUGAAAAGUACUAUGGCGAAUCUAUGGCAUCCUGUUCGUGGAGUUCGUAUUCGAGAUCUGAGGAAAAAAAGGUUUUUAUUCCAAUUUUUUCAUUAUAUGGACCUUGAAAGGGUGUUGAAAGGCUCCCCAUGGACAUUCAACAAUCAUCUGUUAAUUCUUUAUAAUUUAAGAUGGGAGGAUGAUCCCAUGAAGGUCCCUUUAGUAUUGACCCCUUUUUGGGUUCAAAUUCAUGAUGUUCCAAUUGGUUUGUUUUCUGAAAAUCUAGCAGCUAAUCUGGGGAAUUUUCUAGGAAAUUUCAUGGAAUAUGAUGGGACUAAUUUAGGGAAGGAAAACAGGAAUUUUAUGAGGAUCAAGGUGCAAGUUGAUAUCAGACGUCCUUUGAAAAGAAAGAAGCUACUCGAAUACAGGGGGAGAAAGUCCUAUGUCCGGUUUAAAUAUGAAAGAUUGACACCUUUUUGUUUCUUUUGUGGGAAAUUGGGUCACAAUGAUUCUUUUUGUGAGGCAAAAAUGUUGAUUGGAGUAUAAAUCACAGAAAUGGGUUGGGAUUUAUCAAUAAGAGCACAGUCCCGAAGAGCUCUGUCCAUGAAUAGUGUUUGGCUACGAGAAGAAGGGGAGGGGGCUGUAGGUGGAAUUCUAGAAGGAAAUAGGGGCUGUGCAAGGGGGCUACGGAGAAUGGAACGCAAUAAGAGUUAUGGGAAGGCAGUAGAUCCAAUUCUGGGUUUUAAUGUGGAAGGUGACACUUUGUGCGAAGAUGAAAAGCAGGUUAACUCAUUGAUGGACCAUGGCCAGUAUGCGAUGGAACAUGAUUUGGAGGAUGAGGCUUUAGUGGGAGAAGGUAAAAAAAGAGCCAGAACGGAGAAUGAUGAUUUACUACAGAAUGAGGGGAUUACCUCCCAGGUAAGAAGUAAGAGAUCGAGGGACCUUAACCAAUUGAUAUCGACGGCUGUCAAGAGGCAAGCCGACCGGGAAUUAUGAAAAUCCUAAGUUGGAAUGUCCAUGGAUUGGGGAGUUCACGGACAUUUAGAAGACUUCGACACUUGUUGAAGACUUACAACCCCCACAUUGUCUUCUUUAUGGAGACGAAAAUUGGCAAAAUUCAAAUGAAGAAAGUUAGGCAAAGAUGUGGUUUUGUGAAUGGUAUAGAGGUGGAUCCAGAGGGAACUAGAAGAAGGCUUUGUUUGGCUUGGAGGUAUGAGGUCAAUAUCACUCUGAAAAGCUUCUCUAAAAGACAUAUUGAUGUGAUAGUGCAUGAUAAUGAAAGGGAGAUUAUGUGGAGAUUUACAGGAUUUUAUGGAACUCCGUAUGCACGAGAUAAAGAAGAUUCAUGGGCUAUUUUGAAAAACCUUUAUAAUGGAGAGAAUAAUCCAUGGUAAGUAUGUGGAGAUUUUAAUGAAAUCAUGUAUUGUUUUGAGAAAAAAGGAGGUACGCCCCGAGACGAGAAAAGGAUGGAACAGUUUCGGAAAUCAUUGGAAUUAUGCCAAUUGAAUAAUGUAGGAUAUGUGGGUAGAUGGUUUACAUGGGAACGAGGCAAUCUACCAGAGACAAAUAUACGAGAACGCUUGGAUAGAGGGAUAGAAAAUACGGAGUGGAUUUCGUUGUUCUCUAAUAUAAAAGUUCAGCAUUUAGUGCACUCUUUCCGAUCAUUGUCCUUUCCUUACUGAUACAAAGAAGGAAAUCAGACAGAGGAAUGAAAAAAGUUUCAGAGUUGAAAACUGGUGGUUUUUGGAGGAUUCAUUUGUCGACACUGCCGAACAUUUAUGGAAGAUGUCAACAGGUAAUUUCCUACAGAAACUGGAUUUCAUAAAUAAGGGGCUGGAAGAUUGGGUAAGAAAUAUUUUAAAGAACAAAAAAGGGAAAAAGAUAUAUUUAACAGCAAAAUUAUCUGAAUUACUUGAAGCUGAAAGGGAUGAUAGCAACAUGGCAGAGUUGAUUGAUACGAAGAUCCUGCUUAACUUGGAGAUUGAGAAAGAUGAAAGAUAUUGGGAGCAAAGGGCCAAACUGAAUUGGCUCAAAUUAGGGGAUAAAAACACUGCCUUUUUUCAUAGCCAAGCAACUCAGAGGCGAAAGAAAAACAUGAACAAGAGUUUGCAGUCUGGACAUGGUAAGGCCACGAAAAAUCUACAAGAAAUGGAAAAAAUUGCUAGGUCUUACUUUCAGAAUCUUUUUUCAUUAGAGAAUCAAGAAAAUUGUGAUUUCCUACUCUCGGGUAUAAAUCGUUGUAUUACUGACGAGGAUAAUAAAAGGCUCACCGCACAUUAUACAAGGGAAGAAAUUCGUGAGGCUCUUUUUGAAAUGGGACCUACUAAGGCGCCAAGUGAAGAUGGACUCCCAGCCAUCUUUUAUCAGAAGUGCUGGCAUUUUAUUGGUGAGGAUACAGUUUCAUUUUGUCUUCUACUCUUAUACGGUGAUAUGGAGGUCAGUGUUAUUAAUUCAACUCAUAUUGUGUUCAUUCCAAAAAUUAAUAAUCCCACAAAUAUGUCACAGUUUAGGCCUAUCAGUUUAUGUAAUGUUGUUUACAAAGUUAUUGCGAAAACUAUAGCGAACAGAUUUAGAAGGGUGAUAGACAAAUGCAUUGAUAAGGCUCAAAGUGCUUUUGUCCCAAGAAGAUUAAUCUCUGAUAAUGUCUUGCUUGCUUAUGAGAUACUGCAUUCCUUAAAGCAAAAAAGAGUGGGGAAAAAGGGUUACAUGGCAAUAAAACUGGAUAUGAGUAAGGCUUAUGAUAAGGUGGAAUGGAUUUUUAUCAAAAAGUUAAUGUCUCGAAUGGGAUUCGCUCAAAGUUGGAUUGACAAUAUUAUGAAAUGCUUGACUACUUUCUCAUAUAAGGUUGUCAUCAAUGACAAUGUUGGAAUGAAAUUCUAUCCAGAAAGAGGACUGCGACAAAGGGACCCUUUGAGCCCAUUUAUUUUCCUUAUAUGUGGAUAAGGCCUUUCCAGUCUCAUGAGAACAACAAUAGAGGAAGGAUUUUUAAAGGGUGUCAAAGUCAAUAGACGAGGUCCACAGAUAUCGCACUUAUUAUUUGCAGAUGAUUGUAUCCUUUUUGGGGAGGCAACAUGUAAAGGGGCUAAUUCAUUCAAGGCAAUAUUAAGCGAAUAUAGAAGGUGCUCGGGGCAGUGUGUGAACUUUGAGAAAUCAACCAUCUUUUUCAGCAAAAACACUAUUGAGGAGGAAAUAAGACGGAUCAUUAAUUUGCUUAGAGUCGGAAGCUCAAAUGAGCCUGAACGUUACCUUGGUUUGCCAAACAUGAUGGGACGACAAAAGAAGGUUUCCUUUCAAGCAUUGAAAGACAGAAUAAAACAGCGAAUUGACAAUUGGAGUAUGAGAUUUUUAUCGCAGGGUGGAAAAGAAAUGUUUAUCAAAGCUGUUUAUAAAGCUAUUCCGACUUACUCAAUGGCUUGCUUCUUACUUCCGAAAUCCUUAUGUGACGAAAUGGAAGCAAUUAUCGCGAGAUUUUGGUGGAAAAAAGGUCAGGGAAAAGGGGGAAUUCAUUAGAGCUCGUGGAAGAAUUUAUGCAGUUUAAAAGAGAAUGGAGGUUUAGGCUUUCGUAAUCUCAGUCAAUCAAUAUUGCAUUGCUUGCCAAACAGGGGUGGCGUCUGUUUAAUUAUCCGAAUUCGCUUUUAGCCAGGGUUCUUAAAGCAUAGUCUUAUCCAAAUUCGAAUUUUCUAAGUGCAAAGUUGGGGAAUUUACCUUCCCUUACCUGGAAGAGUAUCUGGGCUGCAAAGGGACUUCUCACUCAAGGCCUGUGUUGGAGAGUUGGGAAAGGAAACAAAAUUUCUAUUUGGAAUGACCGGUGGAUCCCGAGGAUCGAACCUAGUAUAUGGCAGAACAGUCAUCAAAAUGGAGAGCUGGAAAAUGUAUCAGAUCUAAUUGAUGGAAUACAUAAGACGUGGAAAGUGGAGGUUGUUACUCAUACCUUUCAACUGGCCAUUGCGCAAAGAAUAUUACAGAUCCCAGUUGCAACUACAGAUAGUGAAGAUUUGCUCGUUUGGAAAGGUGAACCGUCUGGAGAAUUCUCAGUACAGAGUGCUUACAAACUAUUACAAGAUGCUAAUCUGGACCCUAAUAAUUUAGUACAGACCGAAUUCAAAGACUUCUACAGAAAAUUAUGGCAAUUACAACUUCCAUAAAAAAUUCUACUCUUGAUCUGGAGGAUUUCUUGGAACUACAUUCCUACAUUAGUCAAUCUACGUUGCAAACGUUUAACCACAAGCGUGAGAUGUCCUCGAUGUGGUUCAGGGGAAGAAAACAGUCUCCACGUAUUUUUGCAGUGUCCUAAAAGCAAUGAAGUUUGGCAAAACAUUAGUAUGACUAGGGUUACACCAUACAGAGAUCAGAAUACUAGAACAUGGCUUACUUGGGUCUUCGAAAAAGGAACCAAUGAGCAGUGUAAGGUGUUUUGUUGCGCCUUAUGGGCAAUAUGGAACUCACGAAAUCAAUUGGUGCAUGAGAGGAAGAUUGUAUCAGGAAGGGAUCUUGUUCACAGAAUAAAGGCUUAUUUAGCUGAGAUUGAAACAGUGGGAAUGGAAAAACGUACCUUGAAGACUGUUGAAGUUCAGAGACAUUGGGAAGUGAGAACACAUGACACAAUACACUUUGAUGCAGCUUUUGAUACUAACAGGUAUAGAUCGGCGUCGGGAGUUAUUGUACGGGACUGGCGGGGAGAGUUAAGAGCCUUGAAAACAACCCUCCUCUCCAAUAUUUCAUCUCCGUUUCUUGCAGAAGCAUAUGCAUGCCUACAAGCAGUAAAGUUAGGCUUAGCAAUGGGUCUCCGAUCAGUUACAAUUAUGGGAGAUUCGAAGACGGUCAUAAAGAAAUGUCAAGCAAAAGGUAUGGACAAGCCGAUUAUUGGAGCAGUCAUCAGAGAUAUUCAGAAGCAUAGUUCUCGAUUUCAAGAAAUAAUUUUUCAGUUUAUUCAAAAACCAGAAAACUAUCAAGCCCAUAAACUAGCAAAAGAAACAUUAGAAAAGGGGGAAGAGAAGAACCUGGUCGGAACCGAGAGGAUCUGCAAUGAAGAACUUCUGCAGGAGGAAUGGGCAAGGAACCCGGAUUGAAGGGUUUUCAAAAGAAAAGAGAUUUGAAAAUGAUAACAGAUGGAAGAAAAUCUUUUGGGAAACUGUUAUCCUCAGAACAAAUGUGACGAUUCAGUAUGGAAAAGUGGGGUUUAAUUGCGUCCAGCUGUUAGAUUUGACUGGGUUUUAUUUAUUAUUCUUUUAUUUAUUACUUUUGUUUUUUCAUCUUCCGUUUUGCUUUUAGGAUAUGUCUUUUUUGGGCAUACUUUGCAGCCCAUUUCUGCUUUUGUUUUGGUUGUAAUCCGUAGGAACAUAACCCAAACAUAUUGGGUAUUUCUUUGGUUUGAUUUAUAAUAGCCCAGUUUGAUUAUUCAAAAAAAAAAAAGAAAAAGAAUUGGAGCAUAAAUCAAUAAAUGGUCAGGUGAAGUUUUCAGCUCUACUAGACCAAAGUCAG